Molecule: ribosomal RNA, 253 nt
Filed under: uncultured bacterium
Lineage: Bacteria
Also listed under: 1 other name
Description: partial 16S ribosomal RNA
Rfam family: Bacterial small subunit ribosomal RNA
Source: RNAcentral
UACGUAGGGGGCAAGCGUUGUCCGGAAUCAUUGGGCGUAAAGAGCGUGUAGGUGGCUCGGUAAGUCCGCUGUAAAAGUCCAGGGCUCAACCCUGGAAAGCCGGUGGAAACUGUCGAGCUAGAGUCCGGAAGAGGCGAGUGGAAUUCCUGGUGUAGCGGUGAAAUGCGCAGAUAUCAGGAGGAACACCAAUGGCGAAGGCAGCUCGCUGGGACGGUACUGACACUGAGACGCGAAAGCGUGGGGAGCAAACAGG